RNAcentral lists this transfer RNA (94 nucleotides) under Ipomoea nil (Japanese morning glory). It matches the Rfam family "tRNA". From Rfam's summary of the family: Transfer RNA (tRNA) molecules are approximately 80 nucleotides in length. Their secondary structure includes four short double-helical elements and three loops (D, anti-codon, and T loops). Further hydrogen bonds mediate the characteristic L-shaped molecular structure. tRNAs have two regions of fundamental functional importance: the anti-codon, which is responsible for specific mRNA codon recognition, and the 3' end, to which the tRNAs corresponding amino acid is attached (by aminoacyl-tRNA synthetases). tRNAs cope with the degeneracy of the genetic code in two manners: having more than one tRNA (with a specific anti-codon) for a particular amino acid; and 'wobble' base-pairing, i.e. permitting non-standard base-pairing at the 3rd anti-codon position. The record is from Rfam by way of RNAcentral. Lineage: Eukaryota; Viridiplantae; Streptophyta; Magnoliopsida; Solanales; Convolvulaceae.
CCGACCUUAGCUCAGUUGGUAGAGCGGCGGACUGUAGUUUGAUUAAUCUAAAUUUGAAAUCCUUUGGUCGCUGGUUCAAAUUCGGCAGGUCGGA